Molecule: transfer RNA, 71 nt
Filed under: Bos taurus (domestic cattle)
Lineage: Eukaryota; Metazoa; Chordata; Mammalia; Artiodactyla; Bovidae
Also listed under: 4 other names
Rfam family: tRNA
About the family: Transfer RNA (tRNA) molecules are approximately 80 nucleotides in length. Their secondary structure includes four short double-helical elements and three loops (D, anti-codon, and T loops).
Source: Rfam by way of RNAcentral
UCCCUGGUGGCUCAGUGGUAAAGAAUCUGCCUGCAAAGCAGGAGACUUGGGUUCAAGCCCUGGUUCGGGAA